Molecule: ribosomal RNA, 329 nt
Filed under: uncultured eukaryote
Lineage: Eukaryota
Description: partial 18S ribosomal RNA
Rfam family: Eukaryotic small subunit ribosomal RNA
Source: RNAcentral
CCCUUAGAUGUCCUGGGCCGCACGCGCGCUACACUGAGUGUCUGAGAUACGAGUCUGCCUGGUCCGGCAAGGUCUAGGUAAUCGCUAAAAGACACAUCAUGCUUGGGAUAAAUUAUUGCAAAUAUUAAUCUUGAACGAGGAAUUCCUAGUAAGCGCAAGUCAACAGCUUGCGUUGAUUACGUCCCUGCCCUUUGUACACACCGCCCGUCGCUACUACUGAUUGGAUGUUUAAGCGAGGUUCUCGAACUGCUAGCGACUUAGCUUCGGUGAGGUCGCAGUGUGGGAAGUGAACCUAGCUUUGGUGUCUAGAGGAAGUAAAAGUCGUAACA